This 253-nucleotide ribosomal RNA is filed under the name uncultured bacterium. RNAcentral describes it as "partial 16S ribosomal RNA". It matches the Rfam family "Bacterial small subunit ribosomal RNA", at positions 524 to 776 of the family's 1533-position model. The record is from RNAcentral.
UACGUAGGGUGCGAGCGUUGUCCGGAAUUACUGGGCGUAAAGAGCUCGUAGGUGGUUUGUCGCGUUGUCCGUGAAAACUCACAGCUCAACUGUGGGCGUGCGGGCGAUACGGGCAGACUGGAGUACUGCAGGGGAGACUGGAAUUCCUGGUGUAGCGGUGGAAUGCGCAGAUAUCAGGAGGAACACCGGUGGCGAAGGCGGGUCUCUGGGCAGUAACUGACGCUGAGGAGCGAAAGCGUGGGGAGCAAACAGG